RNAcentral lists this ribosomal RNA (489 nucleotides) under uncultured bacterium. RNAcentral describes it as "partial 16S ribosomal RNA". It matches the Rfam family "Bacterial small subunit ribosomal RNA", at positions 28 to 507 of the family's 1533-position model. The record is from RNAcentral.
GAUGAACGCUAGCUACAGGCUUAACACAUGCAAGUCGAGGGGCAGCAUGAUUGAAGCUUGCUUCAAUCGAUGGCGACCGGCGCACGGGUGAGUAACACGUAUCCAACCUGCCGAUAACUCGGGGAUAGCCUUUCGAAAGAAAGAUUAAUACCCGAUAGUAUAGUAUUUCCGCAUGGUUUCACUAUUAAAGAACUUCGGUUAUCGAUGGGGAUGCGUUCCAUUAGAUAGUUGGCGGGGUAACGGCCCACCAAGUCAACGAUGGAUAGGGGUUCUGAGAGGAAGGUCCCACACAUUGGAACUGAGACACGGUCCAAACUCCUACGGGAGGCAGCAGUGAGGAAUAUUGGUCAAUGGACGAGAGUCUGAACCAGCCAAGUAGCGUGAAGGGUGACUGCCCUAUGGGUUGUAAACUUCUUUUAUACGGGAAUAAAGUGGAGUAUGCAUACUCCUUUGUAUGUACCGUAUGAAUAAGGAUCGGCUAACUCCGUG